RNAcentral lists this microRNA precursor (129 nucleotides) under Nicotiana sylvestris (wood tobacco). Its description in RNAcentral is "mir-172 microRNA precursor family". It matches the Rfam family "mir-172 microRNA precursor family". Rfam says of the family: mir-172 has been experimentally verified in Arabidopsis thaliana. This family is thought to target mRNAs coding for APETALA2-like transcription factors. The mature sequence is excised from the 3' arm of the hairpin. Lineage: Eukaryota; Viridiplantae; Streptophyta; Magnoliopsida; Solanales; Solanaceae. The record is from Rfam by way of RNAcentral.
UUACUUGCAGCUGCAGCAUUAUCAAGAUUCACAUAGAAAUCAUGUGGAGCAGAAAAUAUGUUUCUAAAAAUCUGCCACCCCUAAGUUUUUUGAAUAUGAGAAUCAUGAUGAUGCUGCAUCAGCAAAUAA